AAGUCGUAACAAGGUUUCCGUAGGUAAGUUAUCACAGAAUCCUCAUUCGUCAUGGAAACAGUCGCUAACAUCUCUUCCAGGUGAACCUGCGGAAGGAUCAUUACAGUGUUCAGGCUUCGGCCUCAUUCACACCCCUUGUUGAACCUCUGGUUUCUUUGGCGAUGUCAUGGACUCGUCAGACUUUAACUCUGAUAAUGCGAUACUGUCCGAGUGAGAUUGAAUUAUUAAAACUUUCAACAACGGAUCUCUUGGUUCCA
This 257-nucleotide unclassified non-coding RNA is filed under the name fungal sp. RNAcentral describes it as "partial internal transcribed spacer region". Lineage: Eukaryota; Fungi. The record is from RNAcentral. RNAcentral also lists the same sequence under 1 other name.